GGGGAGGUAGCGGGAGGAGGCUGCUCAGAGGAGGCUGCUCAGCAGGGCCGGGAGGCUGCCGUGGAGACAGUGAUAGUUGUGUCAGCUCGCAACUGUGCUCAGAAACACCGACUCAGCACUCGCUUCCCAGCGCAAAGCUCUGCAGGGCCGGGAGGCUCGGGGGCAAGGAGGGAACGGGAGCGGGGAGGCUUCUGGAGGACAAAAGAAAGAAGACACGCAGAGAGACGUGGAGGGAUAGAGGCUGAAAGAGGGAGGAGGUGAGAGAGACAGACAGAGACCUGGAGGGAGAGAUUGGCAGAGAAUGAAACAAAGACCGAGAUGGAGAGAAUCCGGAGUCUGGAGAGGCCAAGCGCCAGGAGAGAGCACGCUGGAGCUCAGGCAGUGUGGGAGACAGAAGGGAGAUGCAGGCCAGGGCCCUGUGCCCUGAUGGAGCGACCCUCCUUGGGGAAGAUUCUUCUUUCAAGGCCUGGGUGAAGACCUCUGCCUCCAGGAAGCCUCCUGUGGCCAGCCAAGCCAUAACUGUUAGACCUCUGGGGAGGUGGUCCCCAUUUGCUGCCAACUCCAGCGCCAGGCUGAUGGCUGCCAGGAGCUGGAUGACAGAAGGACGGGAGAGGCUGCAUCCAGGGAGGCAUGGAACCACCCAGAGGACCGGGCCAUGCGCUGCUCUGGCCUCCUCUGCCCCUGGGGGACCCUCCACUGCUCAGGCCUGGGGGAGCAGCCAGGUAAGGGUGGUCUCUGGCUGGGCGGAGGGUUUGUCAAUGUGUGGGUGCUGGGGUAGCCUGGGUGGCUGGAGUGGGAGAGAAAGGAACUCAGCAUCAUUUUUCUCCUUUCAGCAGAGAUGCUGGACGUCCUGGGUUAGGAGAUCAGGCCUGUCACACGUCACCCUCCACCCUCACCAACAAAACACAUAUACAAAUGGAAAGAGACAGAGAGAGGCUGAGUUAGCUGCUCUCUUGAUCUGUGCUUACCUUUGUGUCUUACUCUUCCUUCUUUGCGUGAUGACUUUUCCCUCCUUCAUUUAA
Molecule: long non-coding RNA, 1022 nt
Filed under: Sus scrofa (pig)
Lineage: Eukaryota; Metazoa; Chordata; Mammalia; Artiodactyla; Suidae
Description: lncRNA (ENSSSCG00025069316.1, ENSSSCG00070008115.1)
Source: RNAcentral